RNAcentral lists this ribosomal RNA (443 nucleotides) under uncultured bacterium. RNAcentral describes it as "partial 16S ribosomal RNA". It matches the Rfam family "Bacterial small subunit ribosomal RNA", at positions 338 to 795 of the family's 1533-position model. The record is from RNAcentral.
CCUACGGGUGGCAGCAGUGGGGAAUAUUGGACAAUGGGGGGAACCCUGAUCCAGCGACGCCGCGUGAGUGAAGAAGUAUUUCUGUAUUUAAAGCUCUAUCAGCAGGGAAGAAAGAAAUGACGGUACCUGACUAAGAAGCCCCGGCUAACUACGUGCCAGCAGCCGCGGUAAUACGUAGGGGGCAAGCGUUAUCCGGAUUGACUGGGUGUAAAGGGAGCGUAGACGGUUACGCAAGCCAGGAGUGAAAGCCCGGGGCCCAACCCCGGGACUGCUCUUGGAACUGCGCGGCUGGAGUGCAGGAGGGGCAGGCGGAAUGCCUGGUGUAGCGGUGAAAUGCGUAGAUAUCAGGAGGAACACCGGUGGCGAAGGCGGCCUGCUGGACUGCGACUGACGUUGAGGCCCGAAAGCGUGGGGAGCAAACAGGAUUAGAUACCCCUGUAGUC